Molecule: long non-coding RNA, 1382 nt
Filed under: Felis catus (domestic cat)
Lineage: Eukaryota; Metazoa; Chordata; Mammalia; Carnivora; Felidae
Description: lncRNA (ENSFCAG00000053120.1)
Source: RNAcentral
CUCAGUUGUCUCAGUUGUCCAAGAGAAAGAUAACCCGCCUCAGGGCUGUGGGAGGUGUUAGCAGCCACGAUGUGACUCUCAGGAAAUGCUGGUCGGGAAGAAGAUGAAGAAGGUCCAGGGUGUGAGUUUUCUAGGUCCGGAAAUCCCAGGUGUUCUGAGGAGGGAGUCGGGUGAGGCAGACCCUGGGAAGCAGGAGAAGGAGGGAGCCAGAGAGCCCAUCUCCGGGACAGAUGUGGGUGUGGGGAAUGAGCAGGUGCCGUGGGGGGUCUGGGCUCCCUUGGGGUUACAUGUGUGACCAAUGAGGCAGACUCUGGGUCCAGGAAGGGAUUCUUCUUUCUCCCUUUCUCCCCAGCAACUUUCCUUGGAACCCAUCACUUGGAAAAUAUUUGCAUGGCCUUUUCCACUUGGCGUAGCUGGGAUCACAGCAGACGUCUGUCUCCUGUCCGCCUGCUCCCCUCUUUCUCACGGGUCCAGCUCCAGUGAGGAGGAAGCUCGAGGGUCUGUGAGAUUAUCUGCGGAGAGAAGGAGCCAGCCGGAGAGAGGCACCAGUAUGCUCAUCCGUCGAAAGCCCCACAGAAGCGAAUUUGCUUUCCUCUGCUCUGCCAGUCCCCCAGAGACCCCGGCCAGAGGUGGUUGCUGGCCUGGCCAAGGCCCGAAGAGGCCGCUGAAUGAGCCUGUCAGGUUCCCACCUUCGCCCAUAAUCUAGAAAUCGGGGCAUCACGUGUGAGGGGAGCCUGGAGUUUUGCGCUCAGCUGGCGGGUGGUGGGAGCUAAGGGGAGCCGGCCCUUCGGUCAAGGAGAAGCCCUCGCAAGUGAGGAGGCCUGUGAACCCCCAAAGGGAAGCGGAAAGGUCUCAGGGCCCGUCUGACCUGUGUGGAUACGAGGGGAGGACUAGAAGCGUGCAGAACCCUCACCAGUGGUCAAAAUCCCACCCUUAACAGGGUAUGCCCUGGGGUCAAGCAUUGCCCCUAAACACGGCAAAUAUCCCCACAAGCCUCAGGAAGGAAGCCAUUACCCCAGCCGCUCAAUAUUCACAAACGCUGAGCUCCCUCCACGUGACUGGUGCCGGGCCCUGGGGAUACAGAGUCAGGGUCCCCCUCUCCCAGCGACUCAGUCUGUGGUGAGCGGUUACAAGGCAAUGCAUCCAGGCUGCUGUAGAGAUGGGAGUGCUCAUUCUGUUCUGCAGCAGCCGAGGCCAAGGCUAGGUCGGGGGGAGGGUGCCCGGUGCCCAAAGGGGGAAGGAGACGGGCAAGCAGAGAAAAAAGGGAGGUCCGGGAACCAGCAGCGCGGGCCAGUAUGGGCAAGCUGGUACGGAGGAGGCAGGACCUUUGCUGAGCUGCCAUGGAGGAGCUAAGGGAGCACAGGGCAAGAAGCGAGGAGGCC